Molecule: ribosomal RNA, 903 nt
Filed under: uncultured Bacillota bacterium
Lineage: Bacteria; Bacillati; Bacillota
Description: bacterial SSU rRNA
Rfam family: Bacterial small subunit ribosomal RNA
Source: RNAcentral
UGGAUCCAGACUUUGAUCCUGGCUCAGGACGAACGCUGGCGGCGUGCCUAACACAUGCAAGUCGAACGGAGCUCCGCCCUUCGGGACGGAACUUAGUGGCGAACGGGUGAGUAACGCGUGAAGAACCUGCCUUCCAGUGGGGGACAACAGUUGGAAACGACUGCUAAUACCGCAUGAUACUUUUGAGGGGCAUCCCUUGAAAGUCAAAGCUUUAAGUGCUGGAAGAUGGCUUCGCGUCUGAUUAGCUAGUUGGUGGGGUAACGGCCCACCAAGGCGACGAUCAGUAGCCGGUCUGAGAGGAUGAACGGCCACAUUGGGACUGAGAUACGGCCCAGACUCCUACGGGAGGCAGCAGUGGGGAAUAUUGGGCAAUGGGGGAAACCCUGACCCAGCAACGCCGCGUGAAGGAAGAAGGCCUUCGGGUUGUAAACUUCUUUUACCAGGGACGAAGGACGUGACGGUACCUGGAGAAAAAGCAACGGCUAACUACGUGCCAGCAGCCGCGGUAAUACGUAGGUUGCAAGCGUUGUCCGGAUUUACUGGGUGUAAAGGGCGUGUAGGCGGAGGCGCAAGUUGGGAGUGAAAUCUAUGGGCUCAACCCAUAAACUGCUCUCAAAACUGUGUCCCUUGAGUAUCGGAGAGGCAAGCGGAAUUCCUAGUGUAGCGGUGAAAUGCGUAGAUAUUAGGAGGAACACCAGUGGCGAAGGCGGCUUGCUGGACGACAACUGACGCUGAGGCGCGAAAGCGUGGGGAGCAAGCAGGAUUAGAUACCCUGGUAGUCCACGCUGUAAACGAUGAAUACUAGGUGUGAGAGGACUGACCCCUUCCGUGCCGCAGUUAACACAAUAAGUAUUCCACCUGGGGAGUACGACCGCAAGGUUGCAACUCAAAUGAAUUGACGGA